Long non-coding RNA from Telopea speciosissima, 218 nucleotides. RefSeq lists it as uncharacterized. The transcript has 2 exons. Lineage: Eukaryota; Viridiplantae; Streptophyta; Magnoliopsida; Proteales; Proteaceae. The record is from RefSeq and is a predicted model, not a curated record.
AGAAGCAUAUAAAAAAGGGAAGACUAUAAAUUUGAAACAUACUUACCUGGACGGGGUUUAUGGGUGAUCAAGAAGGCCCAUUGCCUAGGUUGGUGACUUCCAUUGCACUUGGGAAGGGUGCCCGCUUAACAUCUCCCCAAGUGGGAGAGUGUACGUCAUAAUUUGUGAGUGUACGUCAUAAUUUGUGGCAGAGGGGUACGCGUUCGCGCGGCCCCUAC